GCCUCCAUGGUGAAAUGGACAUCAUUACUGCCUUCGAAGCAGUCGUUGGGAGUUCGAAUCUCUCUGGAGGCA
Candidatus Staskawiczbacteria bacterium is the source of this 72-nucleotide non-coding RNA. The record is from Rfam. Lineage: Bacteria; Candidatus Staskawicziibacteriota.